This 497-nucleotide ribosomal RNA is filed under the name uncultured bacterium. RNAcentral describes it as "partial 16S ribosomal RNA". It matches the Rfam family "Bacterial small subunit ribosomal RNA", at positions 28 to 507 of the family's 1533-position model. The record is from RNAcentral.
GAUGAACGCUGGCGGCGUGCCUAAUACAUGCAAGUCGAGCGAACAGACGAGGAGCUUGCUCCUCUGACGUUAGCGGCGGACGGGUGAGUAACACGUGGAUAACCUACCUAUAAGACUGGGAUAACUUCGGGAAACCGGAGCUAAUACCGGAUAAUAUAUUGAACCGCAUGGUUCAAUAGUGAAAGACGGUUUUGCUGUCCCUUAUAGAUGGAUCCGCUCCGCAUUAGCUAGUUGGUAAGGUAACGGCUUACCAAGGCAACGAUGCGUAGCCGACCUGAGAGGGUGAUCGGCCACACUGGAACUGAGACACGGUCCAGACUCCUACGGGAGGCAGCAGUAGGGAAUCUUCCGCAAUGGGCGAAAGCCUGACGGAGCAACGCCGCGUGAGUGAUGAAGGUCUUCGGAUCGUAAAACUCUGUUAUUAGGGAAGAACAAAUGUGUAAGUAACUAUGCACGUCUUGACGGUACCUAAUCAGAAAGCCACGGCUAACUACGUG